Transfer RNA from Felis catus (domestic cat), 85 nucleotides. It matches the Rfam family "tRNA". From Rfam's summary of the family: Transfer RNA (tRNA) molecules are approximately 80 nucleotides in length. Their secondary structure includes four short double-helical elements and three loops (D, anti-codon, and T loops). Lineage: Eukaryota; Metazoa; Chordata; Mammalia; Carnivora; Felidae. The record is from Rfam.
ACCUGGGUGGCUCAGUCGGUUGAGCAUCUGACUUUGGCUCAGGUCACGAUCUCACUGUUUGUGAGUUUGAGCCCCGCAUCGGGUU